UAUAGGGCAGUGGCGCAGAA
RNAcentral lists this unclassified non-coding RNA (20 nucleotides) under Mus musculus (house mouse). Its description in RNAcentral is "oocyte_clustered_small_RNA2910". Lineage: Eukaryota; Metazoa; Chordata; Mammalia; Rodentia; Muridae. The record is from RNAcentral.